RNAcentral lists this ribosomal RNA (435 nucleotides) under uncultured bacterium. RNAcentral describes it as "partial 16S ribosomal RNA". It matches the Rfam family "Bacterial small subunit ribosomal RNA", at positions 29 to 507 of the family's 1533-position model. The record is from RNAcentral.
AGCGAACGCUGGCGGCAGGCUUAACACAUGCAAGUCGAGCGGGCAUCUUCGGAUGUCAGCGGCAGACGGGUGAGUAACCCGUGGGAACGUACCCUUCGGUUCGGAACAACUCUGGGAAACUGGAGCUAAUACCGGAUACGCCCUUAUGGGGAAAGGUUUACUGCCGAAGGAUCGGCCCGCGUCUGAUUAGCUAGUUGGUGGGGUAACGGCCUACCAAGGCGACGAUCAGUAGCUGGUCUGAGAGGAUGAUCAGCCACACUGGGACUGAGACACGGCCCAGACUCCUACGGGAGGCAGCAGUGGGGAAUAUUGGACAAUGGGCGCAAGCCUGAUACAGCCAUGCCGGGUGAGUGAUGAAGGCCUUAGGGUUGUAAAGCUCUUUUGUCCGGGACGAUAAUGACGGUACCGGAAGAAUAAGCCCCGGCUAACUUCGUG